CUGCCCGUAGCUCAGUUGGAUGAGAGCAACGGCCUUCUAAGCCGUGGGUCGCCGGUUCGAGCCCGGCCGGGCAGGCCA
This 78-nucleotide transfer RNA is filed under the name Acidobacteriota bacterium. RNAcentral's name for it is "Acidobacteria bacterium (bioreactor metagenome) tRNA-Arg". It matches the Rfam family "tRNA". Rfam says of the family: Transfer RNA (tRNA) molecules are approximately 80 nucleotides in length. Their secondary structure includes four short double-helical elements and three loops (D, anti-codon, and T loops). The record is from RNAcentral. Lineage: Bacteria; Pseudomonadati; Acidobacteriota.